Columba livia (rock pigeon) is the source of this 3783-nucleotide long non-coding RNA. RefSeq lists it as uncharacterized. The record is from RefSeq and is a predicted model, not a curated record. The transcript is spliced from 4 exons. Lineage: Eukaryota; Metazoa; Chordata; Aves; Columbiformes; Columbidae.
GAAGCUGAAAAAUCAGGACAAAAAUAAAUUAGAUGCAAACCCUACCAGAAUUCCUUUGGUUAUGUUCCACAUACGUAUCAAGCUACGUAUGUAAAUAUAGUUCUUUCUCAAGAUGUACAAAUAGAAAAAGCCUUUCUCCCAUGUGAAGCACCAAAUCAUGCUAAGAUAAUGUAUUAAUUAAACUGAUGAGUGCUAUCUAAGAAUUCUUCACAGAAUCAGUCUUACUUACAGUGCUGCUGUUGGUAAAAAUAUCAGCAGUCACUAAUAAAUGUGAGCAUGGGCAUAUAGCUAUUAGAUAAAGUCAAGUGCAAAUAUCACUACUCUGUAUCUGUGAGCAUCUAUAUGGUAAAGUUGGCACUCUUUAAAUACUUUAAAAAACAAAUACAUCUUAUUAAAGAAAACAAUUUAUGAUUGAAGAAUAUAAAGCCAAUUCUGAUUGGAGGGGUUGUUGGGCUUUUUUUAGGUUAUCUAUAUAAUUUACUAGUUCUUUGAUAAACUAUAAUUUCUAAAAAAAAAAAUGGGUUUGGAUUAAAAAAACAAAUUUCAUUCUGGAUUUUGUGGAUACAAUUUGUAAUACAUCACUGGAGCUAGCACCUGUUUAUAUAAAAAACCUAGCAUGUCAUUAUUGUUUGAAGACAAUAGCUACAGUCGUGGUUUAAGACGUUUACUUAUGGACUUUUGUUUUUCUUUGUUACUUUGCACAGCAAUACAAUGUCCCAGUGGAAAACUUACAGAUGCAGAAAGUUAUCUACAGGGAGCCCUCUUCUAGCACAAGUUGCAGGAACCGCUACUACAAGCACUACCAACUGUCUUCAUACAGAGAAUGAAGAGGAGAGGGCUCAUGAAAAAGAAACACAAAUGGCUGUGAAUAGUUCAAGAGGAAAAAAAAAAGAAAGAAAAAAUGCUAAUGAAAGGGAUUAAAGGGAAUCAGGAAGUUCUUACAGGUCAUCAAAGGAAACAAGGCAUCCUAAAAAAUGAGUUUCUCCACGUAGAGAGGAAAAUGACUAACCUUCCCAGCAGCACGGGGACAGAAGAAUGCUACCAGCUGUCCUGACCUAGUGCAACUCCCCUGCUCCCAGCAUCUUUACAGGAAUCAGCAAAGUUUCUGUGGGACAGUAGCUACGUCAUAUGGUGAUCUUUCUACACAGAGAGCACUGUUGGAUCAGUAUUCACCACUACAUACUCAUUUGAGUCUAAAACAAUCUCCAACAGCAGUGUCGCUCACAUGGUUCUCCAAAUCAACCUUCCAGCAAACAGCAGCCCUCCAAAAUGGAUGAACAGAGACAGGUGCCAUAAAAGGAUACAGAGACAUGUUUUCAUGCUAUGUAAUACCUACCUGGGCAUGGUGCUAAUGAAAGCAUAUGAAAAAGAAUGAAGGGGAGAGAGAAAUAAAAUAAAUAGGGAAGAUGGUUACAAAAGAAAAAGAUAUGUUUUAAAAUCAAAUUGUUUAAUACAUAAGAUUACAUGAGUCUAGACUGCUGAUACUAUUUUGCUUUGCUGAAUUUCUUGAAAAACCAAAGUCAAUAUAAUACAAUGAAAAUCACAUUAAAGCAAAAGGAAAAUAGUUUAAGCAGUGUCUGUGAAAAUUAUUACAACCAGUAACCUGACAGUGACAGAAAAUGAGACCAUGGAGUUAGAAAGAUGUACUUUUUUCUUUCGUUCUAUCUCUCUGUAUCAUUUUGCUUCAUUUCAAUAUAAUCACGCUUGAUACGGGGUGGGAAAUAAUUUUCACACAACAGAAAAUAGAACACAUCAAUUACAUGCCAGGAAAAAUCUACUGACGUCCACUGACAGUAUUUAAAAGCUAAAGUAUUCUAAAUGGGAGCAGAAACUGGCUUAACAUUUGCCUGCACAAUCAUUUCUAUACAUCAUCCCAAAAUUAAAAAACACAAACCACUUUGUUACCAUUGAAAGCACAUGAUAAAAGGUUUCGACUUUUAAGCAUUCUGGUGUAGCUCAUAAACAUCCUCAGAGACUAAAAGCCACACAGUCACUUUGUUUUCAGUGGAUUCGCCAGAGCUGUCUAAAAACCAACAAAGACUCCAAGCUUAUAAGGCCUGAAUGCUGAGAGAUUUACACAUGCUGUGAGGCAAACCAAACUGCUUCCUGACGUCUUUUGUUCCAGAAGCAAUUCAUAGCCUAAUGAAGUAAACAGAAUGGAUCCUACUGACUUGACUGUGCUUUGGAAACACUACCAGAACAACAAUCGAGACUGGAAAUGAGGUACAAAAUUAUUUUCCCCAGGAAAUUCUGUCUAUACAGUCACGGUUUGUUCUUCCCCAGCAGACUAACAAAACAGCUUACAUUGCCAAGACAUGCAUGUUUCUUUUCAUUCCUAUUUGCAACAUGUUUUUUUCUCCUGGAGAUUUCAGCCACUUUCCCAAUGGUUAAUUACUACUGUACGAACCUGGCUUGGUGUGACCCACAGAACUGCACAACAUCACCCCAGGCCACCAACACCAUCAAGUUUCUCAUUUUCUAAGCUGCAUGGGCAAAUGUCAAGAACCUGAACCUCAGUUACGCGAAGGAGACUGGGACCGUCAUACCAGAGCAACACAUUCCAGCAGUAACAAUUCACUCUGACAUGCCAAGAAAUAGGAAGGAUUGUAAAGGUUAGUUAAGAAUUCAUUUGUGCACCAGGGCAUUUAAAGUCCUAACACAGCAAAAUUGAAAAAAAUAAACCAUUUAUUGUUACUGUUGCUAUUUCUAGUACAGCAUCUUUCCCCCCACCCUGCAAAAUGCUACCAGCAUUAUCAGCUACAGGAGUGGCACCCACUCCUCAAGGAAGAGUACUUGGUAGUUGUUUUCAUGAAACAAAUCAAGCUAGUUUUCCUAGCUUGAUGUUUCAGUUAAUAAAUAAAUAAUUUACAAUUUGUCACCUAAAACAAAGUAACAUUUGAGGUUUUUAAGAUAUUUUUUGUAUCCACAAAUGUUAUAUGUAAAAAAUGAGGCCUAAAUCUUUUCAGUAUAAGAACAAAAGCUCUUGAAAAUUCCAUCUGUCCACAUUAAGACAGAGAAACUGGGCACAGUUUCACAGAAAACAAUAAAAUGCAUUUAAUCAUUGCAUGUUUCCUGUCUUCUGACAGAUGAUGCCUCCUGUUGCCUGGGAAUGUCACAUUAUAAAGCACAGGGCUUAGUGAAAACUUGGAAGAGAUUAAGGCAAUGCUGUUAAUCAAACAAUAAAAGGAUUUUCAAGUUAUAUUUCAAAUAAACUAGAUACUUAUAAUCAUGCCAGACAUUCCAUCUAUAAUAGAAACAAAGGCAAAAUCUUCACUGCUUUUAUCACACCCACAUCCUUUGAGAAAAAAAAAUCCAAGGUCUACUCUUAUUUCAGCUUUAGCCUCUCAUCUAAGAGUUGUCAAUAAUGGGUCUAAGUAACACAAGCUUUUUUAUGUGAUGUGAACAUCUGCAAACAGUAAUAAGAUUACCCAUGAAUAUUUCACAAUGUCUUCAGAACAUUUAUCUGUGGGUAACACAGCUGACUUGCUAGCAUACUAGUUUUGAGUGAGUGAACUAGAAGCUAAAGUCACUCCCCACCAGCCCCUUGUGCCCUUUCAUCUUUCCUUAAUGAGAUGAACCAAACCAAAACUCCCCAAAAAGUAGCACAAUCCUAGUACAUGAAGGGUAAAAAAAUACAUCUUUAAGUCUAAAUGACUGUGUAGUAACAUAAUAUUUAAUACAACUGUGGCUACCCCAGUGCCUUAAUUCCUGCUUUGCAAGGCAAUAGCACAUACACAAAGGGAAUUAUUCGAAGUCUGCAUAAUAAGCACUCAUUCCUGCCAG